AUUCAGUUGACGAGUCCCAAAGAGAAUGAGAUGCGUGUCCUGAAU
RNAcentral lists this non-coding RNA (45 nucleotides) under Schistosoma margrebowiei. Lineage: Eukaryota; Metazoa; Platyhelminthes; Trematoda; Strigeidida; Schistosomatidae. The record is from RNAcentral.